AACGAACGCUGGCGGCAUGCCUAACACAUGCAAGUCGAACGAGACCUUCGGGUCUAGUGGCGCACGGGUGCGUAACGCGUGGGAACCUGCCCUUAGGUUCGGAAUAACUCCCCGAAAGGGGUGCUAAUACCGGAUAAUGUCUUCGGACCAAAGAUUUAUCGCCUUUGGAUGGGCCCGCGUUGGAUUAGCUAGUUGGUAGGGUAAAAGCCUACCAAGGCGACGAUCCAUAGCUGGUCUGAGAGGAUGAUCAGCCACACUGGGACUGAGACACGGCCCAGACUCCUGCGGGAGGCAGCAGUGGGGAAUAUUGGACGAUGGGCGAAAGCCUGAUCCAGCAAUGCCGCGUGAGUGAUGAAGGCCUUAGGGUUGUAAAGCGCUUUUACCCGGGAUGAUAAUGACAGUACCGGGAGAAUAAGCUCCGGCUAACUCCGUG
Molecule: ribosomal RNA, 433 nt
Filed under: uncultured bacterium
Lineage: Bacteria
Description: partial 16S ribosomal RNA
Rfam family: Bacterial small subunit ribosomal RNA
Source: RNAcentral